This is a non-coding RNA of Callorhinus ursinus (northern fur seal), 432 nucleotides long. Lineage: Eukaryota; Metazoa; Chordata; Mammalia; Carnivora; Otariidae. The record is from RefSeq and is a predicted model, not a curated record.
UCAGUCAGUGCUCUCAAGCUUCUAGAGCAAUAAAGGAAGACAGUAGAAUGGGAAGACAUCUUCACCAGCCAGACAAGAUGCCCUGUUACUCACGUAACUUUGUGAUAAUCUGAGAAGUUACUGAAGUGGAGUUCUCCCAGUCAUUUGGAGCAAAAAGAAUAGAAAAGGAGACAACAGCAACAAAUUGUUGGAAACUGGAAAGCUGAAAAGCAAUGGUAACUAAUUUAGCAGACCAGAGAGAGCUGGGGAAAGCAGAGCAGCAACCAAAUUUACAUCACAGAAGCUGCAAAAGGAAUCAGUGACAAGGUCACCUAUGGAGGUCACAGAACUCUGGCAGCCAGACUGGAACCCUUCAGACAAGAGAUUGUCUAAAAAAUAUGACAAGGACAAAAGAAAAGACCUAAAAAUGCAGAUGGGUGUAUCCAAGUAACA